AGGGAAUCCUUCCGCCAAUGGACGAAAGUUCUGACGGAGCAACGCCGCGUGAGUGAUGAAAGGUUUUCGGAUCGUAAAGCUCUGUGUUAGGGAAGAACUAAGUGCCGUCAAAUAGGGCGGCACUUGACGGUACCUAACCAGAAAGCCACGGCUAACUACGUGCCAGCAGCCGCGGUAAUACGUAGGUGGCAAGCGUUGUCCGGGAAUUAUUGGGCGUAAAGGGCUCGCAGGCGGUUUCUUAAGUCUGAUGUGAAAGCCCCCGGCUCAACCGGGGAGGGUCAUUGGAAACUGGGGAACUUGAGUGCAGAAGAGGAGAGUGGAAUUCCACGUGUAGCGGUGAAAUGCGUAGAGAUGUGGAGGAACACCAGUGGCGAAGGCGACUCUCUGGUCUGUAACUGACGCUGAGGAGCGAAAGCGUGGGGAGCGAACAGGAUUAGAUACCCUGGUAGUCCACGCCGUAAACGAUGAGUGCUAAGUGUUAGGGGGUUUCCGCCCCUUAGUGCUGCAGCUAACGCAUUAAGCACUCCGCCUGGGGAGUACGGUCGCAAGACUGAAACUCAAAGGAAUUGACGGGGGCCCGCACAAGCGGUGGAGCAUGUGGUUUAAUUCGAAGCAACGCGAAGAACCUUACCAGGUCUUGACAUCCUCUGACAAUCCUAGAGAUAGGACGUCCCCUUCGGGGGCAGAGUGACAGGUGGUGCAUGGUUGUCGUCAGCUCGUGUCGUGAGAUGUUGGGUUAAGUCCCGCAACGAGCGCAACCCUUGAUCUUAGUUGCCAGCAUUCAGUUGGGCACUCUAAGGUGACUGCCGGUGACAAACCGGAGGAAGGUGGGGAUGACGUCAAAUCAUCAUGCCCCUUAUGACCUGGGCUACACACGUGCUACAAUGGACAGAACAAAGGGCAGCGAAACCGCGAGGUUAAGCCAAUCCCACAAAUCUGUUCUCAGUUCGGAUCGCAGUCUGCAACUCGACUGCGUGAAGCUGGAAUCGCUAGUAAUCGCGGAUCAGCAUGCCGCGGUGAAUACGUUCCCGGGCCUUGUACACACCGCCCGUCACACCACGAGAGUUUGUAACACCCGAAGUCGGUGAGGUAACCUUUAUGGAGCCAGCCGCCGAAGUGACUAU
Molecule: ribosomal RNA, 1124 nt
Filed under: Bacillus sp. (in: firmicutes)
Lineage: Bacteria; Bacillati; Bacillota; Bacilli; Caryophanales; Bacillaceae
Description: bacterial SSU rRNA
Rfam family: Bacterial small subunit ribosomal RNA
Source: RNAcentral